UCACAGAGAAAAUAAUCGAACCUCGAUUCCUCCAAUCGCGCGUUCGCCAAAGGAAAAAAUGGCUGACAGCAGUGGACCGAGUGGAGCUGCCCGCUCAGGAGAAACAUCACAGAACAUGGAGCUAUUUGGAACUGACUGGGAAAUGUUUGAUGCUGUGCACGAGGAACCAUAUGGAGUUCAAGUCCAGGAAAUUGAGUGCCCUCUGACUCCGCAUAUUAUGGAAACUGUACAGUCCAUGAUAAAUCCCUUGGCCUCAUCAGAGUCAUUUGGCAGAGACAUUUACAUAACAAUGGUUCAGUGUAUUGAAAGUCUAAUGGCAACACAAGAAAUGCCUGAGAUAUAACAUGAUCUUGCAAAAGAUUUUAAUAGCAUAAACUAAAGGUAAACAUUUGCAGUCUACUUGUUAAAAAAGACUUGCUCUGACAUCUGUUCAAUUUAACAUGAGAUAGGAGUCCCAAACAUUUUUACUGAGAACUUUCCGAUGAAAUUUCUAUUCAUCAGAAUUAAAUUGGACUUUUCUAAAACAAAAUGACUGUGGGUAUUCCAAAGAGCAACAUGGCGAUUACAGAAAAGGAAGGAAGCUGUCACAAAAAUGACCAGAAUAAAACAUAUGAUCUGACAUGUC
This is a non-coding RNA of Doryrhamphus excisus (bluestripe pipefish), 625 nucleotides long. Lineage: Eukaryota; Metazoa; Chordata; Actinopteri; Syngnathiformes; Syngnathidae. The record is from RefSeq and is a predicted model, not a curated record.